UCGCACUAGAAAGCAUGGUCAAGCUGCCAGUGUAGCUGCAGUCUUUUUAGUUGCAAAUUACGAGUAUUUCCUCUUGUGUUAAUAAUUCGCCAUGCCAAAACAAGUGUAACUUUCCUCCUUCUUUCAACGUGAAGAGAGAACACAACAUCAAGAAAACGUGGAAUAAACAGCAAUAAUGGAAGAGCCGGUUUCUAAGCUACCUAAAACUAGCAAUGUUACAUGGAGUCAACAGGAAAUCUUUUGGUGGAGAGGGUGGAGACCUCGACUGGCUAUCGUAGCCUGCAGGGAAUCGGCCGUCAGACUUUCUGUCGCAUGUCCCAGACCCGGUGAAAUGUAACUGAAUUGUCUUGGCCAGCCCUAAGGGUUCCAUCUGCAUCUCAUCAUUGCUGAGGAGUGUGCUCCCAUCACCCAAUCAAGCAUCCAGCCAGAACAGGUCAUGAUAUAUUUUUUACCAUAUUAACAUGCCAUUGUUGUGUGUUAUGCCUGAUGUAAAGACUCUCGUCUCUGCGAGCCUACCACACAGAUUUAAUACUUGUCAUUUUUAGGGCAUACCUAACAACGUGUUUUCUUUCUCUAUC
Molecule: long non-coding RNA, 578 nt
Organism: Neoarius graeffei (lesser salmon catfish)
Lineage: Eukaryota; Metazoa; Chordata; Actinopteri; Siluriformes; Ariidae
Exons: 3
Source: RefSeq, a predicted model, not a curated record